GAACGCUGGCGGCGUGCCUAAUACAUGCAAGUCGAGCGAACGGACGAGAAGCUUGCUUCUCUGAUGUUAGCGGCGGACGGGUGAGUAACACGUGGAUAACCUACCUAUAAGACUGGGAUAACUUCGGGAAACCGGAGCUAAUACCGGAUAAUAUUUUGAACCGCAUGGUUCAAAAGUGAAAGACGGUCUUGCUGUCACUUAUAGAUGGAUCCGCGCUGCAUUAGCUAGUUGGUAAGGUAACGGCUUACCAAGGCAACGAUGCAUAGCCGACCUGAGAGGGUGAUCGGCCACACUGGAACUGAGACACGGUCCAGACUCCUACGGGAGGCAGCAGUAGGGAAUCUUCCGCAAUGGGCGAAAGCCUGACGGAGCAACGCCGCGUGAGUGAUGAAGGUCUUCGGAUCGUAAAACUCUGUUAUUAGGGAAGAACAUAUGUGUAAGUAACUGUGCACAUCUUGACGGUACCUAAUCAGAAAGCCACGGCUAACUACGUGCCAGCAGCCGCGGUAAUACGUAGGUGGCAAGCGUUAUCCGGAAUUAUUGGGCGUAAAGCGCGCGUAGGCGGUUUUUUAAGUCUGAUGUGAAAGCCCACGGCUCAACCGUGGAGGGUCAUUGGAAACUGGAAAACUUGAGUGCAGAAGAGGAAAGUGGAAUUCCAUGUGUAGCGGUGAAAUGCGCAGAGAUAUGGAGGAACACCAGUGGCGAAGGCGACUUUCUGGUCUGUAACUGACGCUGAUGUGCGAAAGCGUGGGGAUCAAACAGGAUUAGAUACCCUGGUAGUCCACGCCGUAAACGAUGAGUGCUAAGUGUUAGGGGGUUUCCGCCCCUUAGUGCUGCAGCUAACGCAUUAAGCACUCCGCCUGGGGAGUACGACCGCAAGGUUGAAACUCAAAGGAAUUGACGGGGACCCGCACAAGCGGUGGAGCAUGUGGUUUAAUUCGAAGCAACGCGAAGAACCUUACCAAAUCUUGACAUCCUUUGACAACUCUAGAGAUAGAGCCUUCCCCUUCGGGGGACAAAGUGACAGGUGGUGCAUGGUUGUCGUCAGCUCGUGUCGUGAGAUGUUGGGUUAAGUCCCGCAACGAGCGCAACCCUUAAGCUUAGUUGCCAUCAUUAAGUUGGGCACUCUAAGUUGACUGCCGGUGACAAACCGGAGGAAGGUGGGGAUGACGUCAAAUCAUCAUGCCCCUUAUGAUUUGGGCUACACACGUGCUACAAUGGACAAUACAAAGGGCAGCGAAACCGCGAGGUCAAGCAAAUCCCAUAAAGUUGUUCUCAGUUCGGAUUGUAGUCUGCAACUCGACUACAUGAAGCUGGAAUCGCUAGUAAUCGUAGAUCAGCAUGCUACGGUGAAUACGUUCCCGGGUCUUGUACACACCGCCCGUCACACCACGAGAGUUUGUAACACCCGAAGCCGGUGGAGUAACCUUUUAGGAGCUAGCCGUCGAAGGUGGGAC
Molecule: ribosomal RNA, 1457 nt
Filed under: uncultured organism
Description: 16S ribosomal RNA
Rfam family: Bacterial small subunit ribosomal RNA
Source: RNAcentral